This is a small RNA of Salmonella enterica subsp. enterica serovar Typhimurium, 201 nucleotides long. It matches the Rfam family "isrO Hfq binding RNA". Lineage: Bacteria; Pseudomonadati; Pseudomonadota; Gammaproteobacteria; Enterobacterales; Enterobacteriaceae. The record is from Rfam.
AUGCCCAAUCCAUUGACGCCGGAAAGGGGCCGCGUGGAUGAUGAUGCCGCGAAUAUCCGAUAUGCCAGCAUAAUAUCGACUCACGGCACAAUGGCGCUCGUCUGCGUUCUGUCAGGGCCUGUUUUGGUAAUGCCUUUCUUUCUGUUAUGCGCUACGCUGAUCGUCUGAGUAUAUGGCCUGGCCAUGCUGCCGGGUCAUUUU